CCAGAGGUUGGGCCCAAGGAAAGGACCCAAACACAGACAGAGUAACUACCGUUACACCCCGGUUUAUUUACAAGGAUAUUUAUUUAGGAAUAACAGAAUACAGAGCGGACAAAGCCUUUAGCCACGGAGGUUCGGUGACUGGGAUGGAGAGGGAGUGUCCUAGUAAAUCAGGUUGCAGGAGGGGAUCACAGAAAAGGCCUCAGAGGAACAGGAGGGAUUCUGCAACAGAUGGAGAGGUGGUUAUUGUCCGAGUUAGUAAGCACUGAGGAGGGGAGGUCUGUGGAAGUUUUCUUGGGAGUCCUGAGGUGUAACGAGAAGGUCGGAGGGCGGACAGACAGGGAGAUGAGAUGCAGAUGGAAUACAGGUGAGGUGCUGGAUGUCCCAAAAGGGGAGGACCCACAGCCACAGAUGGAAAACCUCCAGACACUCCCACAGACCGUAACAAAAACGUGGUUUCACAGAACUCCAAACAGUUUGGUGUUUUUAUUUUGAUACCCACACUGAUUGCCAUAAAUCUGACCUCCAACAAAUUCCCUCCAUAUAAAACUAUUAAAAGAAGACAAAUAACAAUAAACUGAGACAAGUGAACCCUCUCUGGAAACUAAAUGAAAUUAAAGUGAUAUAAAAACUUUUAAAAGUAUAAAUAAAAUAAAACAUAAUUACAAAACAUAAAACUGUGACAAUUCUGUUUAUAAUCUUAUUUGUUAUAUAACUAAAUGAACUGGUACAUUGUUUUCUUCAGUUUUUACUACAAGUCACAUUCAUCCUUUCACACACAUUCGUAUCG
Oreochromis aureus is the source of this 787-nucleotide long non-coding RNA. RefSeq lists it as uncharacterized. The transcript is spliced from 3 exons. The record is from RefSeq and is a predicted model, not a curated record. Lineage: Eukaryota; Metazoa; Chordata; Actinopteri; Cichliformes; Cichlidae.